GACAGAGGGUGCAAACGUUGCUCGGAAUCACUGGGCGUAAAGGGCGUGUAGGCGGGACAGUAAGUCGGGCGUGAAAUCCCUGGGCUCAACCCAGGAACUGCACUCGAAACUACUAUUCUUGAGUGUCGGAGAGGAAAGCGGAAUUCCUGGUGUAGAGGUGAAAUUCGUAGAUAUCAGGAGGAACACCAGUGGCGAAGGCGGCUUUCUGGACGAUAACUGAC
This 221-nucleotide ribosomal RNA is filed under the name uncultured bacterium. RNAcentral describes it as "partial 16S ribosomal RNA". It matches the Rfam family "Bacterial small subunit ribosomal RNA", at positions 524 to 744 of the family's 1533-position model. The record is from RNAcentral.